CGCGGCCUAUCAGCUUGUUGGUGGGGUAACGGCCUACCAAGGCGACGACGGGUAGCUGGUCUGAGAGGAUGGCCAGCCACAUUGGGACUGAGAUACGGCCCAGACUCCUACGGGAGGCAGCAGUGGGGAAUAUUGCGCAAUGGCCGCAAGGCUGACGCAGCGACGCCGCGUGCGGGAUGAAGACCUUCGGGUUGUAAACCGCUGUCAGGGGGGACGAAUACCCGGCCUCGAAUAGGGGACCGGGGGUGACGGUACCCCCAGAGGAAGCACCGGCUAACUCCGUGCCAGCAGCCGCGGUAAUACGGGGGGUGCGAGCGUUGUCCGGAAUCACUGGGCGUAAAGGGCGCGUAGGCGGCUCGUUAAAUCACCUGUGAAAUCCCGGGGCUCAACUCCGGGGCUGCAGGUGAGACUGGCGGGCUGGAGCUCGGUAGAGGCGAGUGGAAUUCCCGGUGUAGCGGUGGAAUGCGUAGAUAUCGGGAAGAACACCAGUGGCGAAGGCGGCUCGCUGGGCCGAUGCUGACGCUGAGGCGCGAAAGCGUGGGGAGCAAACAGGAUUAGAUACCCUGGUAGUCCACGCCGUAAACGAUGGGCACUAGGCGUCGGGGGGAGCGACCCCUUCGGUGCCGCAGCUAACGCAGUAAGUGCCCCGCCUGGGGAGUACGG
RNAcentral lists this ribosomal RNA (663 nucleotides) under uncultured Actinomycetes bacterium. RNAcentral describes it as "bacterial SSU rRNA". It matches the Rfam family "Bacterial small subunit ribosomal RNA", at positions 232 to 885 of the family's 1533-position model. Lineage: Bacteria; Bacillati; Actinomycetota; Actinomycetes. The record is from RNAcentral.